Molecule: ribosomal RNA, 253 nt
Filed under: uncultured prokaryote
Description: partial 16S ribosomal RNA
Rfam family: Bacterial small subunit ribosomal RNA
Source: RNAcentral
ACGAAGGGUGCAAGCGUUAAUCGGAAUUACUGGGCGUAAAGGGCGCGUAGGCGGUUCGUUAAGUCUGUCGUGAAAUCCCCGGGCUCAACCUGGGAACUGCCUUUGUGACUGCAAGGCUGGAGUGCGGCAGAGGGGGAUGGAAUUCCGUGUGUAGCAGUGAAAUGCGUAGAUAUGCGGAGGAACACCGAUGGCGAAGGCAAUCCCCUGGGCCUGCACUGACGCUCAUGCACGAAAGCGUGGGGAGCAAACAGGA